UAAACAUGCUAGGGGAGCCUUUAAUAAGGCUGAGAGUCUCCUCCACCUGUCCCCCUUUUCUGGGGACAGAUUUGAAAUCUGUCCCCACAGGGGGACAGGGGGAGGGGAGACCCUAACAACCUGAUCUGGAUAAUACCAGCGUAGGGAAGCGGCAAAAAAUAGCG
RNAcentral lists this non-coding RNA (164 nucleotides) under Deltaproteobacteria bacterium. Its description in RNAcentral is "TPP sequence". It matches the Rfam family "TPP riboswitch aptamer (THI element)". Rfam says of the family: Vitamin B(1) in its active form thiamin pyrophosphate (TPP) is an essential coenzyme that is synthesised by coupling of pyrimidine and thiazole moieties in bacteria. The previously detected thiamin-regulatory element, thi box was extended, resulting in a new, highly conserved RNA secondary structure, the THI element, which is widely distributed in eubacteria and also occurs in some archaea. Analysis of operon structures identified a large number of new candidate thiamin-regulated genes, mostly transporters, in various prokaryotic organisms. Lineage: Bacteria; Pseudomonadati; Myxococcota; Myxococcia. The record is from RNAcentral.